RNAcentral lists this long non-coding RNA (317 nucleotides) under Sus scrofa (pig). RNAcentral's name for it is "lncRNA (ENSSSCG00070023822.1)". The record is from RNAcentral. Lineage: Eukaryota; Metazoa; Chordata; Mammalia; Artiodactyla; Suidae.
CACAUCCAUUCACUGGCUCCCCACGUCGUCCUCAUCAGGAAAAACUCCCAGCGGGAUUCCUGAGCGUCACGCCCAGUGUCCUGACAGUUCCUCUGUGUGCCUCCAGAUCUCCCCGAGAUAGUGCUGGAUGACGUGCCUGCGGUGAGGGUGGCGGGACGGCCUCCAUUCGCUCCGCGGGUGGCCUUCAUGGUGAACAAAACACGUUCAGCUGUUUUGACAGGAUAAUCUGAAUAUGUUUCCUGAUGAAAAAGAUACUUUGCUGCCUAGAUUGUUCUGUGAUAAGCACUGUUAAAGAGCAUAUUUAAUGAAUUGCAAAA